CUUCGUACUUUUACAAUAGGUACUUCCCCAUAUGGGCCCAAAGCUGAUGGGCCCAGAAAAUAUCAAAAGCCGAAUUCGACAAAGUAAUCAGGAAUUCAUGAUGCGAACCAACACACUCACAUUUCUCUGGUUCUUCCUCUUUGAUUGCUUUUUGUCUCGAUUCGAAUAUUUUCUUAUUCAACUAUAUCAUUAAUCCACAGGUAUAUUCUAAUUAAUUCUGUAUACGAAUAGAGAAUAUACAUAUUGUACUAAGUGAUGGCGUGGAGGUUGAGUUCGGGUGAUAUAGCCGGAUUCAAAGUACUGUUUAGUAUGUUGAUUAUGUAUGGAUUGAUAUCAGUACUUGUAUACUCAAUCAUUCACAUGAAAUUCAUCACACCUCUUGCUAUUGACGCUCCUCCUCAUCGCUUCUCUGAAGCCAGAGCUAUUGAGCAUAUUCGCGUCUUAUCUAAAGAUAUUGGUGGUCGUCAGGAAGGACGUCAAGGUUUGAGAUUAGCUGCACAGUAUAUUAAGAAACAGUUGGACAUGAUUAAGGAAAGAGCUCAACCUGGUAUUAGAAUAGAGAUAGAGGAGACUAUUGUUAAUGGCUCCUUCAACAUGUUCUUUUUACACCAUAGCAUCUCUCUCACUUAUAGGAAUCAUACAAAUAUUAUUAUGAGAAUGUCAUCAGUGGAUUCAGGAGAAAAUGAUUCUGCAGUUUUGGUGAAUGGCCAUUUUGAUACUCCACCUGGUUCUCCAGGAGCUGGUGAUUGUGGUUCAUGUGUUGCAUCAAUACUCGAGCUAGCAAGACUUUUUGUUCAUUCCGGCUGGAUUCCACCUAGACCAGUUAUAUUUCUAUUUAAUGGAGCUGAAGAACUGUUUAUGCUGGGUUCGCACGGUUUCAUAACUACACAUAGAUGGAAUCAGACGAUUGGAGCAUUUAUAGAUGUUGAAGCUUCUGGGACCGGAGGCCUUGAUUUAGUUUGCCAAUCUGGACCUGGGUCCUGGCCUUCACAUGUUUAUGCUCAAUCAGCACUAUAUCCUAUGGCAAAUAGUGCGGCUCAGGAUCUUUUUGGUAUAAUUCCUGGUGAUACAGACUACAGAAUGUUUGCCCAAGAUUUUGGCGAUAUUCCUGGCCUGGAUAUUAUCUUUCUCCUCGGGGGUUAUUUUUAUCAUACCGCAUCUGAUACUGUUGAAAGACUAUUACCUGGAAGCAUCCAAGCACGUGGAGACAAUUUAUUAAGAAUAAUCAAAGCCUUCGCCAACUCGUCUUACCUGCAAAAUGCACAUGAAAGGAGAUUAAAAUCUGCUGUCAAUAGAUCUGACAAUGAACGUGCAGUGUUCUUUGAUUACUUGUCGUGGUUCUUGAUAUACUAUUCGCGAGAGCAAGCUAUGUUACUUCAUAGUUUACCUCUUGUCAUCUUUUUUCUCAUGCCACUUCUGUUACGCUUUCCAACUUGGGGACUGACCUCUUCUUUUGCAACCUUUUAUGAUUUUCUUAAAGGAGUGUUAUAUCAUACUUCUGCAAUUUUGCUAGCAAUUGUUUUUCCAGCUGCCUUUGCUGUCAUAAGACUGCUGUUUUCUGGUCAGUCAAUGAACUGGUUUUCUACACCAUAUUUGGCAUUCAUGAUGUUCGUACCCUGUUCACUUGCUGGGAUGUUGAUUCCAAGAAUGCUCUGGAAAAGCUUCCCUCUGAGUCAAGAUGAUUCUGUCCUGAAGUUGUCAAAAGAGGAACUAGUUUUUGAAGCUAGAUUUUGGGGAGCAUUUGGGUUCUAUUCCAUUUUAACAUUGCAGGCUUACCUUGUUGCUGGGCUGAGCGGAGGUUUCUUGACAUUUGUAAUGUCAGCAUUCAUGCUUCUUGCUUGGAUUUCCUUUCGCCUGUCUAUGAAGUCCUUUGUUGUCAGAUCAUUUAGGUCAACUGCAUGUUAUGUGAUCCCUCUCAUUCCUUGCCUAUUGUACGCGGUGUAUUUUGGCGGAUUGCUUGUUGCUUUUGUGAUUGAAAAAAUGGGCAUGACAGGCUCACUCCCCCCUCCUUUUGGGUACUUCAUUCCUGAUGUUAUAGUGGCAGCAAUAAUUGGAGUGGUGACUAGUUGGUCUGUUGGGCCUAUUUUGCCUAUUGUGAGCCACUGGUUAGCCAGGUCAUCUAUACUGCAUUUUUUGCUACACAGCAGUGUUCUUGCUUUGGCCCUUUCAUCACAAUUCUUUCCGUACAGUGCCGAUGCACCUAAAAGAGUUAUAUUCCAGCAUACUAUCCGGAAUGCAGGUGCCAGUCAAAUUAUGGAAACUACCUAUGAUUUUGCUGUAGUUGACUCCAACACUUUGCCUUUUGUUUUCAAACAUGCCCCUGAAGUGGCCAAUGCACUGCACAUUAAUACCAUAUUAUCCUUUGAUGCUGUCGAGCAGUCUCAUCGAGAGGAUUGGAUGGGGAUCUUUCCAAUAUCUUCGCUGUUUUCAAGAUGCAUGAAGUUCCCUGCGAAAAAAUCGGAUGUCUUGCGUGAAUACAAUCAUCUCCCACAUCUAACGACUAAUAAGCCACAAGAGAGUUUGAGUGGGGGUUCCCGUAGGAUCUACUUGGAGUUCUCCCUCGGUUCCUUGAAGGAAGUCUGGGUUGCAGUCCUUAAUAUUACUGGUUCGCUAUCAAGCUGGUCAUUUGCAGAUAACGUUCUUCCAGCUCCUGAGAAGACUGGUAAUGGUCCGCCAUCAUAUAUAUGUAGAUUAAGUGGUGCAGGCGAUAAAAAGUGGAGCUUUUGGUUGGAGGACCGCAGUAUGGGACAGGUGAUUGGUGCAGGAUAUGAAUCACAAGGCCUCUACUAUCUAACACUUACCUCUCCUAAUUCCUCCAUAGCAUGCUCCGUUAUAGAUCCUCCAGACUUAAUCCAUAAACGAUUAGGACAUCCGAGUCUGUUCAAGCUACAAAAGGUGGUGCCUAGUUUGUCUAGUCUGUCUAAAUUAGAUUGUGAGUCAUGUCAACUUGGGAAACACACUCACUAUCUUUCCACGCAGUGCUGAGAGUCGUGCAGAGUCUAUUUUUCCAAUAGUUCAUUAUGAUAUUUGGGGUCCUAGUGGAGUCGGUUCACCUUUAGGAUUUCAUUAUUUUGUUAGUUUCAUUGAUGAUUUUUUCAGAUGUACUUGGCUAUUCUUAAUGAAAGAUCGUCCUGAGUUAAUUCUCUAUAUUCAAGAGUUUUUGUGCUGAAAUACAAAAACAAUUUGGUGUUUCUAUUCGUACUUUUCGGUGUGAUAAUGCCUUAGAAUACAAAUCCUCCCAGUUUCAGCAGUUUAUGACUCACCAAGGAAUUAUUAAUCAAACAUCUUGUCCUUUCACCCCUCAGCAGAAUGGGGUAGCAGAAAGGAAGAAUAGGCAUCUCAUUGAGACUGCUCGCACUCUUCACAUUGAAUCCCAUGUUCCGCUGCGUUUUUGGGGCGAUUCAGUCCUCACGUCUUGCCAUUUAAUUAAUCGAAUGUCUUCAUCUUCUAUUCAGAAUCAGAUUUCAUAUUCCAUAGUAUACCUCAAUCAUCUCUAUACUCUCUUCCUCCUCGUGUUUUUGGGAGCACAUGUUUUGUGCAUAACCUAGCUCCGGGGACAGAUAAAUUAGCUCCUCGCUCUCUUAAAUGUGCCUUUCUUGGUUAUUCUCGGGUUCAAAAGGGGUAUCGUUGCUUCUCACCUGAUCUCCGUCAAUAUCUUAAGUCUAUCGAUGUCACAUUUUUUGAGUCUCAACCUUACUUUAGGUCUCCUUCUGAUCAUCCUGAUAUCUCUGAGGUCUUACCUAUAUCUUGGGUUUUACCUAUACCGACCUUUGAGGAAUCUACAGUUACUUCUACUUCUCCAGUCACAGUGCCACCACUUUUGACUUAUCAUCGUCGGCCACGUCCAGCAUCAGACCCAACAUCAGGUCCAGAUGAUUCAUGUCAUGCGUCAGACCCUGCACCUACUACAGACUUGUCUCCUCCUGAUCUGCCGAUUGUACUUCGGAAAGGUAAACGGUCCACUCGUAAUACUAAUUCACAUUAUACCCUUUUAGGUUAUCAUCGUCUAUCGUCAUCCCAUUAUGCCUUUGUAUCAUCAUUGUCCUCUGUCCCCAUUCCUAAGUCUACAGGUGAAGUCCUUUCUCAUCCCUGAUUGCGACAAGCUAUGAUUGACGAGAUGUCUGCUUUACACACAAGUGGUACUUGGAAGCUUGUUCCUCUUCCUACAGGUAAAUCUACUGUUGGCAGUCUUUGGGUUUAUGCAGUCAAAGUUGGUCCGGAUGGCCAAGUUGAUCGGCUCAAGGCUCGCCUUGUUGUGAAGGGGUAUACACAGAUAUUUGGGCUUGAUUACGGUGAUACUUUCUCUCUCGUGGCUAAAAUAGUAUCUGUCCAUCUUUUUCUAUUCAUGGCUGCUGUCCGCCAUUGGUCUCUUUAUCAGUUGGACAUUAAGAAUGUUCUUCUCCAUGGUGAUCUUGAGGAGGAAGUUUAUAUGGAGCAACCACCUGGUUUUGUUGCUCAGGGGGAGUCUAAUCUGGUGUGUCGAUUGCGUCGGUCACUUUAUGGUUUGAAACAGUCUCCUCGAGCUUGGUUUGGUAAAUUCAGCACAGUAAUUCAGGAGUUUGGCAUGACUCGUAGUGAAGCAGAUCAUUCUGUGUUUUAUCGACAUUCUGCUCCAGAUUUGAGUAUUUAUUUAGUGGUUUAUGUUGACGAUAUCGUUAUAACUGGCAAUGAUCAAGAUGGUAUCACUAAUUUAAAGCAACAUUUUCAGCAUUUCCAGACUAAAGAUCUUAGCAGACUAAAGUAUUUUCUAAGUAUUGGGGUUGCACAAUCCACGUCAGGUAUUGUUAUUUCGCAACGCAAGUAUGCCUUGGACAUUGUUGAGGAGACAGGAAUGAUGGGAUGUAGACCCAUUGACACUCCUAUGGAUUCGAAUGCUAAACUCCUGCCAAGACAGAGGGAGCCACUCAGUGAUCCUGGAAGAUAUAGGUGGCUGGUUGGUAAGCUGAAUUAUCUCACAGUGACUAGGCCUGACAUUUCGUUUCCUGUGAGUGUUGUACGUCAGUUUAUGGAUUCUCCCUGUGAUAGUCAUUGGGAUGCAGUUGUCCGCAUUCUGCGAUAGAUUAAGUCAGCUCCAGAGUCCUUUACAAAUGCUAAUUAUGCAGGAUCACCCUCUGAUAGACUUUCUACAUUUGGAUAUCGUGUGUUAAUAGGAGGUAAUUUGGUGUCUUGGAAGAGUAAGAAACAGAGUGUCAUUGCACAAUCUAGUGCUGAAUCAGAAUAUCGAGCAAUGGUUGUAGCAACUUGUGAGCUAGUUUGGAUUAAGCAGUUUCUCAGAGAACUAAAAUUUGGAGAAUUCAGUCAAAUGGAACUUGUGUGUGAUAACAAAGCGCCCCUUCAUAUCGCAUCAAAUCCAGUAUUUCAUGAGAGGAAUAAGCACAUUGAGAUUGACUGUCACUUUGUCCGGAAAAAGAUACUCUCCGGAGAUAUUGUUACUAAAUUUGUGAAGUCAAGUGAUCAGCUUGCGGAUAUUUUCACCAAGUCACUCAGUCGUCGUCGUAUUAGAUACAUCUGUAACAAGCUCGGUACAUAUGACUUGUAUGCACCAGCUUGAGGGGGAGUGUUAGAAUAGGAAUAGGAUUUGGAUUUGUAUAUAGUAUCCUACAUGGAAAAGGAUUAGGAUGUAGUGUCUAGAAAUAGGACUCAAUGUAAUAAUGUAGAUACACAUUUCAAUAAUAAUAUUUUCUCCCAUAUUUUCUCACAAUGAUGAAGUCAUUGUUGGGGCAAAGAGCAAGUUUGUCACACCCCAAAUCUGGAGUGGCAUGACCGGCACUCGAUGCCAAACUAGGCCCGAGCGAACCACUCUAAAUCUGAAGCUCUGGGGAGUAACUCCCAACUUAAGCCGAUAAGGCCUACCUGCACACAGACAAUACCGACAAGCCGGCGUGGCCGAAAUCUGGAUAUAUAUGUAAAUACUGACUAUAUCGUCUGAACUGGGCACUCACACAUCCCAAAAUACAUAUACACAACUGAGUAAGCCGACGAGGCUGCUGUGAUCGUACAAAGCCAACAGUAUCCAAGCAGACAUAUACAAGCCGACAAGGCUAUCACACAGACACUCUGUUUACAGGACUCGUCUACAAGCCUCUAGGGAAAGUGUGACUGUACCAAACAAUCUGUAAUAAAAAAAGGAGAGACUCCAAGGACCUGGCAACUCCGAACAAAAAGGAAGCUCACCACUCAGCGGAUAUCAGAUUCUGCCUACUGGGGAGGUCUAUCAAUCUGUCGAUCUGUACCUACAGGCAUGAAUGCAGUGCUCCCGGCAAAAGGGACGUCAGUACGAAACAAUGUACCGAGUAUGUAUGGCAAACGAUAACUGAAACUGAACUGAAAACAAUACAAUUUGGAGGCCAAAGGAUGCCUUGAAUAUCUCGCCUGACCUGUCUCAUAUGAAAUGCAAUAUAAUACUAUUAUAUAUCUCACUGACCAAGUGGCCAGGCAACUGUAAAAUCUUACUGACCAAGUGGCCAGGCAUUCUGUCUCACUGACCCGUAGGCCAAGCAUGUCUGUCUCACUGACCAAGUGGUCAGGCUAAAGAAAAUGUCUGACCCGUAGGCCAGGCUAAGUACAUCAUGCAUAUGCUGAAAAUACAGAUACUGUAACAUGCCCCUUCUGUCUCUCUAUAAACUCAAGGACAUAAGGAGGGGAUAUGGCCCCUCGGAAAGAAUAACAUAACACUCGGAAACUAUGCGAUAAUAUGACAAGCGCUACUUUGAUAAAUCUUUAGUCACAAGGUUUAUUACGCGCUUACUAUAUAUGGAAUCAUGCCAAGAAAAGAAGGAACAACCUUAAAAUAUCUGAAGCUUACUUCUCGACUUUCCAACCUACUUCGUGUCUUCCAAUCUACAUAAGAUCAUUCGUAGUCUCAUAAUCUACAUAUAAAACCAUCGGACGGGUUCCAGUGGUGGACGGGUGAGUAACGCGUAAGAACCUGCCCUUGGGAGGGGAACAACAGCUGGAAACGGCUGCUAAUACCCCGUAGGCUGAGGAGCAAAAGGAGCAAUCCGCCUGAGGAGAGGCUCGCGUCUGAUUAGAUAGUUGGUGAGGCAAUAGCUUACCAAGGCGAUGAUCAGUAGCUAGUCCGAGAGGAUGAUCCGUCAUAUGCCUGUCUGUCUUUAAGCCUUCAAAUUAUUUCCCAAAAAGCUCAGCUCAUAUAUAGGGGUGUGAGUGACAUAAAAAUUGAGGGAUUAGAGUGAUUUUGAGUGGCGGAGUAUUAAUCGAGGCUCGGGUGACGUAUAGCGGUGACUAUAGUAUCGUUUUGCGGUGGAUCUGGGCUUGAAUAUACUUAUUUCUUGAAAUCACAGUCGUUUAUAUCAUUCAUUCAUAGCCCUACUUUAUUGUCGACAAUAAUAUUUUUAUGUCUGUCAUAAUUUCACCAUUCGUUUUCAAUGGCAGUCAAUUCAAUCUCAUAACCGACGCGACUUAAAUCCAUACGCCAUAUCUCUCUAGGACGGGUAAGCCAACCUCUUGCUCACUAGGUCCUAUGAUAAAUUUCACCAUGCUUUAUUCAUUGCGGACAAGCCAACCUCUCGCUUUCCAGGGUUCAUAUGAAUCCAUUUUGUUUAUAGAACCCAUGGCAACAAUUGUAUUCAACAUGUGGAAGUCAUAACCUCAACUAUUAUCUAUACCUGUGUUCUCAUACAAAGGUCUCUAAACAUGUCAUAUAAGUCACUCCUUUUGUUCUAAUUUAUGUGAUACAACAACAACAACAUACCCAGUGAAAUCUCACAGUGUGGGGUCUGGAGAGGGUAAAAUGUACGCAGACCUUACCUCCAUCUCGGAAGAUAGAGAGGCUGUUUUCGGAAGACCCUCGGCUCAAGAGAAAACAUGAUGAGAAAAGGCGAACAGUUCUGAGGCCAUUAAGGUUGAUGUGGCUGUAGUGGACCAGUAUUUGACAAAGUCUGCUGCUAAA
RNA transcript from Lycium barbarum (goji berry), 7909 nucleotides. RefSeq lists it as uncharacterized. The transcript has 21 exons. Lineage: Eukaryota; Viridiplantae; Streptophyta; Magnoliopsida; Solanales; Solanaceae. The record is from RefSeq and is a predicted model, not a curated record.